CCUACGGGCGGCAGCAGUAGGGAAUCUUCCACAAUGGGCGAAAGCCUGAUGGAGCAACGCCGCGUGGGUGAAGAAGGUCUUCGGAUCGUAAAACCCUGUUGUUAGAGAAGAAAGUGCGUGAGAGUAACUGUUCACGUUUCGACGGUAUCUAACCAGAAAGCCACGGCUAACUACGUGCCAGCAGCCGCGGUAAUACGUAGGUGGCAAGCGUUAUCCGGAUUGAUUGGGCGUAACGGGAACGCAGGCGGUCUUUUAAGUCUGAUGUGAAAGCCUUCGGCUUAACCGGAGUAGUGCAUUGGAAACUGGGAGACUUGAGUGCAGAAGAGGAGAGUGGAACUCCAGGUGUAGCGGUGAAAUGCGUAGAUAUAUGGAAGAACACCAGUGGCGAAAGCGGCUCUCUGGUCUGUAACUGACGCUGAGGUUCGAAAGCGUAGGUAGCAAACAGGAUUAGAUACCCUUGUAGUC
Molecule: ribosomal RNA, 465 nt
Filed under: uncultured bacterium
Lineage: Bacteria
Description: partial 16S ribosomal RNA
Rfam family: Bacterial small subunit ribosomal RNA
Source: RNAcentral